GUAGCCAAGCCCGGAAGGGAUAAACGCUGAAGGCAUCUAAGCGUGAAGCCCCCCUCAAGAUGAGAUAUCCCAUCCGAAAGGAGUAAACCCCCUUGAAGACGACGAGGUUGAUAGGGCAGAGGUGGAAGUGUGGUAACACAUGGAGCUGACUGCUACUAAUAGGGUGAGGGCUUGACCAAGAA
This 182-nucleotide ribosomal RNA is filed under the name Blautia intestinalis. RNAcentral's name for it is "partial 23S ribosomal RNA". It matches the Rfam family "Bacterial large subunit ribosomal RNA", at positions 2745 to 2925 of the family's 2925-position model. The record is from RNAcentral. Lineage: Bacteria; Bacillati; Bacillota; Clostridia; Lachnospirales; Lachnospiraceae.